This 252-nucleotide unclassified non-coding RNA is filed under the name Glomeraceae sp. RNAcentral describes it as "partial contains 5.8S ribosomal RNA and internal transcribed spacer 2". The stretch from base 1 to 65 matches the Rfam family "5.8S ribosomal RNA", at positions 84 to 154 of the family's 154-position model. The record is from RNAcentral. Lineage: Eukaryota; Fungi; Glomeromycota; Glomeromycetes; Glomerales; Glomeraceae.
GUGAAUCAUCAAAUUUUUGAACGCAAAUUGCACUCUCCUCGGAGAGUAUGCCUGUUUGAGGGUCAGCCUAUAAAAAAUCGACAUCGUUGCUGUUUCGCGGUGGCGUUCGUCGGAAAUUGGGUUAUCUUAAAUCCUUUUGGGUUUUAAGCGACUUAAAAUUUUCUUUUUGUUUCUAUGAACGUUUCUAAGAUUUAUUUCUUUACACGUUUAAGGUAUCGUUUUUUAUUAGACGUCACUCAUAUAUCGGAUCGC